UAUCCGUUCUUCUAAGGUGGCCGCUCC
This 27-nucleotide small RNA is filed under the name Bombyx mori (domestic silkworm). Its description in RNAcentral is "ovarian small RNA-23608". Lineage: Eukaryota; Metazoa; Arthropoda; Insecta; Lepidoptera; Bombycidae. The record is from RNAcentral.